GUGCACCAGGCGAGAAACCUCCGCAAUACACGAAAGUGUGACGGGGCCAUCCCGAGUGCCGUCCGCUGAGGACGGCUUUUCCCCAGUGUACACAGCUGGGGGAAUAAGGAGAGGGCAAGCCUGGUGUCAGCCGCCGCGGUAAUACCAGCUCUCCGAGUGGUGGGGACGCUUAUUGGGCCUAAAGCAUCCGUAGCCGGCUGGGCAAGUCCUCCGUUAAAUCCAACGAUUCAAUCGUUGGGCUGCGGGGGAUACUGUCCAGCUUGGGGGCGGGAGAGGCCGACGGUAUUCCCGGGGUAGGGGUGGAAAUCCUAUAAUCCCGGGACGGACCACCAGUGGCGAAGGCUGUCGGCUAGAACGCGCCCGACGGUGAGGGAUGAAGACUGGGGGAGCGAACCGGAUUAGAUACCCGGUAGU
RNAcentral lists this ribosomal RNA (414 nucleotides) under uncultured microorganism. RNAcentral's name for it is "bacterial SSU rRNA". It matches the Rfam family "Archaeal small subunit ribosomal RNA", at positions 330 to 745 of the family's 1478-position model. The record is from RNAcentral.